Oryctolagus cuniculus (rabbit) is the source of this 677-nucleotide non-coding RNA. Lineage: Eukaryota; Metazoa; Chordata; Mammalia; Lagomorpha; Leporidae. The record is from RefSeq and is a predicted model, not a curated record.
GCCCGCCCGCAUCCCCGAACACUGAGCCCUGUUCCAGCACGAGGCAGGCCCCACUCCCUGAGCAGUCAGAGUAACAGCAGGGGUAGGGCCCACUGAGCAAGUCAGAGUAACAGCAGGGGCAGGGCCCACUCCCCGAGGAAGUCAGAGUAACAGCAGGGGCAGGGCCCACUCCCCGAGCAGUCAGAGUAACAGCAGAGGCAGGCCCCACUCCCCGAGGAAGUCAGAGUAACAGCAGGGGCAGGGCCCACUCCCCGAGGAAGUCAGAGUAACAGCAGGGGCAGGCCCCACUCCCCGAGCAGUCAGAGUAACAGCAGGGGCAGGGCCCACUCCCCGAGGAAGUCAGAGUAACAGCAGAGGCAGGGCCCACUCCCCGAGCAGUCAGAGUAACAGCAGGGGCAGGGCCCACUCCCCGAGGAAGUCAGAGUAACAGCAGAGGCAGGGCCCACUCCCCGAGCAGUCAGAGUAACGGCAGGGGUAGGGCCCACUCCCCGAGCAGUCAGAGUAACAGCAGAGGCAGGGCCCACUCCCUGAGCAAUCAGAGUAACAGCAGGGGCAGGGCCCACUCCCUGAGCAGUCAGAGUAACAGCAGAGGCAGGGCCCACUCCCUGAGCAAGUCAGAGUAACAGCAGGGGCAGGGCCCACUCCCCGAGGAAGUCAGAGUAACAGCAGGGGCAGGG